Molecule: ribosomal RNA, 465 nt
Filed under: Vreelandella stevensii
Lineage: Bacteria; Pseudomonadati; Pseudomonadota; Gammaproteobacteria; Oceanospirillales; Halomonadaceae
Description: partial 16S ribosomal RNA
Rfam family: Bacterial small subunit ribosomal RNA
Source: RNAcentral
CCUACGGGUGGCUGCAGUGGGGAAUAUUGGACAAUGGGGGGAACCCUGAUCCAGCCAUGCCGCGUGUGUGAAGAAGGCCCUCGGGUUGUAAAGCACUUUCAGUGAGGAAGAACGCCUGGUGGUUAAUACCCAUCAGGAAAGACAUCACUCACAGAAGAAGCACCGGCUAACUCCGUGCCAGCAGCCGCGGUAAUACGGAGGGUGCGAGCGUUAAUCGGAAUUACUGGGCGUAAAGCGCGCGUAGGUGGCUUGAUAAUCCGGUUGUGAAAGCCCCGGGCUCAACCUGGGAACGGCAUCCGGAACUGUCAAGCUAGAGUGCAGGAGAGGAAGGUAGAAUUCCCGGUGUAGCGGUGAAUUGCGUAGAGUUCGGGAGGAAUACCAGUUGCGAAGGCGGCCUUCUGGACUGACACUGACACUGAGGUGCGAACGCGUGGGUAGCAAACAGGAUUAGAUACCCUAGUAGUC